CACGAGCACUUCACCAUUGGUCGGUGGAUCUAUGAGCAGAGGUGAGAGUUUAUGUAUUCUUUGGACCUCUCCAUCUAUCCCAACCUCAUCCAAGAGUUCUUUGGAAACAUCUAGCUAAGUACUAAAAGCAAUGAGUCCACAGUUGAGGGAGUCUUAGUCGUGCUCAACGAGCAGAGACUAGUCUGGAAAGUUCAAAUGCCUCGAUCUGGCAUGUGUAUUGAGGACCAAAGGAUGGGCUUAUAGUGCAUUUUAGAGGAGGUGGAUAUUAGCAAGCUUGAGGAGGUGUAGGCCAACUAGCUGCCCAUAGAGACUCAACUACUACAUCAUAUAUUGUGAGUUGGAUUUUCUUCCCUAGGAUGAAAAGAUUCGACUUCAUCUCAGAGCAGGACAUCCUCAUGAUAUUCCACAUUAUUCGAGGCAUUCCUCUAAACCUACCCCCUCUGAUAAUGCAAUAGAUUUGGGAGACAGCGAAUUAGUUGAAGGCUUGUUUUCCUUAUAGCAUGGUUUUUACCCUGAUCUUUUGAGAGUUUGGAGUGUAGCGUGGGGGGGGGGGGGCGCAAACAUUAAGAGUCCCUAGUCACUCAAAUAUCUACAAUGAUCGGUCACUCUAUCGAAUGGGGUACCAAAGUUAGGAGGGAGAUGGGUGUGGAGAGGCUUAGGGCAGAAGUGGCAGGGCGAGGAUGCAAGGUAGGACCGAGUGCACCUCAACCCGAUAUAGAGCUUGGGACACCUCCACUAGCAGCAACAGCACCACUUACCACACCACCAAUAGUAGCACCCUUUACAAUAGUAGCAAUAGCAGCACUCAAUAGCCACAGAUCACCUCAAUACAUCUAAACAAGGAUCAGCUCUAG
RNAcentral lists this long non-coding RNA (854 nucleotides) under Elaeis guineensis (African oil palm). RNAcentral describes it as "long non-coding RNA (EGUI_LNC048132)". The record is from RNAcentral. Lineage: Eukaryota; Viridiplantae; Streptophyta; Magnoliopsida; Arecales; Arecaceae.